CAAAGGGCAUACGGAGGAUGCCUUGGCGAGUCCUGGCGAUGAAGGGCGUGGCAAACUGCGAUAAGCCCCGGGUAGGUGCAAGCAACCUUUGAUCCGGGGAUUCCCGAAUGGGGCAACCCAUCUGCCUGAAAGGGCAGAUAUUCUGCUGUAAAUAUAAAUAGCAGCAGAAAGCGAACUGGGGGAAGUGAACCAUCUCAGUACCCCAAGGAAAAGAAAGCAAAAGCGAUUCUCUAAGUAGCGGCGAGCGAACGGAGAAUAGUCCAAACCGAAUAACGGUAAUAGCGUAGACGCGUUCGUUAUUCGGGGUUGUAGGGUUCAUCAUAGGAAGGUCUACCUUCCUAUCAGGUAUAAAAAUCUUUCAAGGUAGUUGAAUAACAUGGAAAGGUUAACCAUAGAGGGUGAAAGUCCCGUAGACAAAACUUUGAAAGUACCUGAGAUGAAUUCCUGAGUACUACGGAGAAACCGGGAAACUCCGUAGGAAUCUGGGAGGACCACCUUCCAAGACUAAAUACACGGACUCGACCGAUAGUGGACAAGUACCACGAGGGAAAGGUGAAAAGAACCCCGGAAGGGGAGUGAAAUAGAACCUGAAACCGUAUGCCUACAAGCAGUCGGAGUCCCAUUUUUGGGAUAACGGCGUGCCUAUUGAAGAAUGAGCCGGCGAGUUACUGAUUGUGGCAAGGUUAAUCCGCAGAAACGGAGGAGCCGUAGCGAAAGCGAAUGGUCUGAAAAGGGCCAUAAGUCACAGUUAGUAGACCCGAAGCCGGGCGAUCUACCCAUGGACAGGAUGAACCUACCUUAACCGGUGGGGGAGGUCCGAACCGGUGGUUGUUGCAAAAACCUCGGAUGAUCUGUGGGUAGGAGUGAAAGGCUAAUCAAGCUCGGUGAUAGCUGGUUCUCCCCGAAAUGACUUUAGGGUCAGCCUCACUUUUUGCCAAUUAUUGGCAACGACAUAUUAUAUAUGUCGGAGAGAAUGGUGGGGGUAGAGCACUGAUGGGGUAAGUCUGCCGUUAGGCGGGCAAACCCUUUCAAACUCCGAAUACCACCAUUUUUUAAGUGGGAGUGAGACUAUGGGGGCUAAGCUCCAUAGUCAAAAGGGAUUGAGCCCAGACCAUCAGUUAAGGUCCCUAAAUCCAGGCUAAGUGGUAAAGGAGGUGGAACCACUUAGACAACCAGGAGGUUGGCUUAGAAGCAGCCAUCCUUUAAAGAAAGCGUAACAGCUCACUGGUCGAGGUGAUUCUGCGCCGACAAUUCAACGGGGCUUAAGUCUGGUACCGAAACUAUGGGUUACCAUUUUUAUGGUAACGGUAGGGGAGCAUUCCCUAACAUUGAAGUUCAUCCGUAAGGAUGGAUGGAGUUAAGGGAAGAGAGAAUGCCGGCAUAAGUAGCGAAAAUCCCGAUGAGAAUUCGGGACGCCGAAAGCCCAAGGUUUCCUGGGGAAGGUUCGUCCUCCCAGGGUCAGGCGGGUGCUAAGUCCAGGCCGAAAGGCGUAGAUGAUGCACAGCAGGUUAAUAUUCCUGCCCUAUCUGAUAAGCGCUAAUACCGAAGGGGUGACGAAACAGAAUAGGUCAGCCAGUGAUUGGUUGUACUGGUUCAACCUGUUAGGUUUGUUCGUGGCAAAUCCAUGGACAUUCAAAAACCAAGCAGGGAGUACGAGUCCGCUCAAAACGGACGAAGUGGUCAAAUUCUGUUUCCAAGAAAAACCUCGUAGGGAGUUUAUCAGGUACCCGUACCGCAAUCCGACACAGGUAGGCUGGGGGAAUACCCUAAGGCGCACGAGAGAACCCUCGCUAAGGAACUCGGCAAGUUAACCCCGUAACUUCGGGAUAAGGGGUGCCCAAGUAAGGUAAAGUUCAUUCUGAGCCUGAAAGGGUCGCAGUGAAAUGGCUCCCGCGACUGUUUAUCAAAAACACAGGGCUCUGCUAACUCGUAAGAGGAAGUAUAGGGCCUGACAAGUGCCCGGCGCCGGAAGGUUAAGGGGAGGUGUUAUCCGCAAGGAGAAGCACUGAACCUAAGCCCCGGCAAGCGGCGGCCGUAACUAUAGAAAAGACCGCUGUAGUUACGUAAAAAAAUCUGG
This 2077-nucleotide ribosomal RNA is filed under the name activated sludge metagenome. RNAcentral's name for it is "bacterial LSU rRNA". It matches the Rfam family "Bacterial large subunit ribosomal RNA", at positions 1 to 1971 of the family's 2925-position model. The record is from RNAcentral.